UACGUAGGGGGCGAGCGUUGCUCGGAAUUACUGGGCGUAAAGGGUGUGCAGGUGGCUGAUUAAGUCAAAGAUGAAAUCCCGAGGCUCAACUUCGGAACGGUCUUUGAUACUGGUCAGCUUGAGGCUAGUAAAGGUGAGCGGAAUUCCCGGUGGAGCGGUGAAAUGCGUAGAUAUCGGGAGGAACACCUGAGGCGUAGGCGGUUCACUAGGCUAGUCCUGACACUGAGACACGAAAGCUAGGGGAGCAAACGGG
This 253-nucleotide ribosomal RNA is filed under the name uncultured bacterium. Its description in RNAcentral is "partial 16S ribosomal RNA". It matches the Rfam family "Bacterial small subunit ribosomal RNA", at positions 524 to 776 of the family's 1533-position model. The record is from RNAcentral.